AUAUUUUCUCCCCAAGCUGGACCUGACCGUCAUGUAUCGGUCCAAAAUAGUGUGAUGAUAUUGUGUUUUUUGUACAUAACAGACUUUUUAACAGACAAAUUUGUCGCAUUCUCCUACACCUCUUCACGGGCUCGCCACAGUAAAUAUUCUAUUUGGCGAGAGAUAAACUUUAUUGUAUUUAUCCUAGUGAAUCUAUAAUUAAACGGGUAAACUAGUAUUAGCACAUCCAACAUCAAAGAAAGUAAAAUGUUACUAUCAGGAGAGGGAGAAUGUUUAAGUGGUUAGCAGCAGUGUGCUAGCCGAUGGCCCCCUCCAUGAGGCCACCACAGCUCAGCAGAACAUCGUUGUAGCUUCUUCUGGGGAGAAAAACACUUGGAGAAAAAAUAAAGUUAACAGCUGAAAUAGCAGGAAAUAAUAGAGUUAAGGAGCAGAUUGUAGAAGAAAGAAACCCCUGGGUUAAACUGGUCUGUCUACUGCAUAAUGCUGAACUCUAACAUGUGUCCUCAGGGAAGGACCUGAUUGGUGUCCAGAACCUGUUGAAGAAGCACCAGGCUCUGCAGGCUGAGAUCACAGGUCAUGAACCUCGCAUCAAGGCUGUCACCCAGAAAGGAGAGACCAUGGUGGAGGAAGGUCACUUCGCUGGUGAGGAGGUGAAGACUAAGCUGUCAGAGCUUCAUGGACGUUGGGACACGCUAAAGGCCAAGGCGUCCCAGAGGAGGCAGGACCUGGAGGACUCUCUGCAGGCCCAGCAGUACUUUGCGGAUGCUAAUGAGGCCGAGUCCUGGAUGAGGGAGAAGGAGCCCAUCGUUGGAAGUCCAGACUAAGGGAAAGACGAGGACUUGGCCGAGGCUCUCCUGAAGAAGCACGAGGCCCUGAUGUCGGACCUGUCGGCUUAUGGCAGCAGCAUCCAGGCCCUGAAGGAGCAGGCCCAGUCCUGCAGGCAACAAGAUAAUCAGCAGGUGCUUUUGUCCUGCAGGACCUGAAGGCCAACGAGUCCCGCCUGAGGGACAUCAACAAGGUGGCAUCUGAACUGGAGUCAGAAGGUCUGAUGGCUGAGGAGGCUCCUAUGGUUCAGGCUCAGCAACAAGAACAUCUGGGUUCUGCUCCUGGAAAGGACGAAGCCGACUCUUAACACGGCGUCACCCUGGAAGACCGUACGGUUGGGCGUUCAGACGACGGCUAACUUUAAUUCCAUCAAGGUAAGAGGAAGCUCUUCCCUUCCUGUCUGAGCGAUCCGUCUCCAGGUUUCCUCGUCCGGCGUCCAGCCCGCUGGCGUCCACCUUCAUCUCAUCUCACUUCAUUUAUAGUGCAAUACUUUCACAUUAUCAUUUUCCCACACUUCUGUAUACCUGUAUUUUGUUGUUUUUCAAUAAAGAAUGACAAAUUA
Nothobranchius furzeri (turquoise killifish) is the source of this 1387-nucleotide non-coding RNA. Lineage: Eukaryota; Metazoa; Chordata; Actinopteri; Cyprinodontiformes; Nothobranchiidae. The record is from RefSeq and is a predicted model, not a curated record.